GGGCUGGGGCUCAGUGGUAGAGCACCCGCCUAGCAUGUGUGAGGCACUGGGUUUGAUCCUCAGCAUCACA
RNAcentral lists this transfer RNA (70 nucleotides) under Marmota monax (woodchuck). RNAcentral describes it as "tRNA.Ala". Lineage: Eukaryota; Metazoa; Chordata; Mammalia; Rodentia; Sciuridae. The record is from RNAcentral.